Molecule: non-coding RNA, 1009 nt
Organism: Solanum lycopersicum (tomato)
Lineage: Eukaryota; Viridiplantae; Streptophyta; Magnoliopsida; Solanales; Solanaceae
Source: RefSeq, a predicted model, not a curated record
GUUCACGACAUAAGUCAGAUCUUAAGGUAGAAUUUUGGAACGGUCGUCGAAAUUCUAUCCUAGUUCGGGUGUUAGCUUCGGGUCCUAAAUCGAUUAUUCGCGUUGAUUUUCAAGAACUUUUUUACUAAAGAGUAUUUUCUAGUCUCAAGUGAAGAUAUUUUCUGGAAGAUGUUUCAUUUACCAACCAAAUAUUAAAAAAGAAUUCUACUCACCAAAUAACAUGAGAAAAUAACUUAAAAAUUCAUUUAUUUUUUUCAAGAAAACAUUAUGUAGGAAAGCACUUUUCAAGAAACACAUUUUCCUUCGUAGAAAACACACCUUUAGUUUAACUAUCUACCUUUAUUUUUAAGCAUGUAUGAGAUAUAUCUAUUUUUGUAGGCUGGUAAAAUUCAUUGUUUCAAUACACUAUGUCCCGGCUUUGUACAAGUAAACCAUGACUUCCCUCUUGAUUAUUCAUUCAUGCAUAUUAUUUCACAACGUGGAGGAAAAAUUUGGAGUGUGGAAGUGCACAUUGAUCGGGACUUAUCCGGUAAUUGGUGGCUUUUAAUGAGACAAGACUUUACGCGAAUAGGUUUCUGGCCACAAAGUCUCUUCACUGACUUGAAAAGUUUUGCUACGAAUGUUGAUUGGGGAGGAGUUGUAUAUAGUCCACCAGGUGUACCAAAACCUCCAAUGGGCUCAAGCUAUUUUCCUAUUGAAAACAGUUCCUAUGAUGCUUAUUGCGAUGAUCUUACAAUUAUCAACGAGAAAGGAGAAACAAUUGAAGUAGAUACAACAAUCACACAUACCGAUAAUCCGUACAAGGUUGAAUUUAUACAACUUUCACGUGGUGCAAAACACAUAUAUUUUGUUCUUUAUGGGGGACCGAGUGAAAGUACACAUGUUUAAUAGUAAAGAAGUCCAAAUCCUGAAAGAAGUUGAAGAAAAUUGUUCCUAUUUGUUCUAUAUACACCUUUAGUUUGAAUGUUAUAUGGUCUUCCAAAGAAAUGCAAAGGAAAAUUGUCCAAAA